Molecule: RNA transcript, 481 nt
Organism: Condylura cristata (star-nosed mole)
Lineage: Eukaryota; Metazoa; Chordata; Mammalia; Eulipotyphla; Talpidae
Gene name: Ig heavy chain V-III region 23-like
Exons: 3
Source: RefSeq, a predicted model, not a curated record
GGGCUGAGCUGGCUGUACCUCCUGACUCUUCUAGGGGGUGUCUGGUGUGAGGAGAAGCUGGUGGAGUCUGGGGGAGACUUGGUGCAGCCUGGGGGUCUCUCAGAAUCUCCUGUGCAGCCUCGGAUUCACCUUCAGCAGCUACUACAUGAGCUGGGUCCGCCAGGCCCCAGGGAAGGGGCUACAGUGGGUUGCAUGGAUUAGGUAUGAUGGUAGCACAAACUACGCGGACGCCGUGAAGGGCCGAUUCACCAUCUCCACAGACAACAGCAAGAACACGCUGUAUCUGCAGAUGAACAGCCUGAAGCCCGAGGACACGGCCUUGUAUUACUGUGCGAGAGACACAGUGAGGGGAUCAGGUGUGAGCCCAGAUACAAACCCUGCAGGGACAGGAGGGGGCUGGGAGGUAAAUGAUACCACUUCAGUCACCAUCACUGUGGUGAUGUUUAUUAACUGUGUUUAUGGGGAAACCAGGCUGAUGUCU